GCCAGUGUGGUUUAGUGGUUUGAUCAUUGGACUAUGACUCUGAAGAUUAGGUUCAAUUUCCAGCUCAGCCA
This is a non-coding RNA of Phrynosoma platyrhinos (Desert horned lizard), 71 nucleotides long. Lineage: Eukaryota; Metazoa; Chordata; Lepidosauria; Squamata; Phrynosomatidae. The record is from the annotation of a GenBank genome assembly.